This is a non-coding RNA of Paramuricea clavata, 97 nucleotides long. The record is from the annotation of a GenBank genome assembly. Lineage: Eukaryota; Metazoa; Cnidaria; Anthozoa; Malacalcyonacea; Plexauridae.
UGUUGUUCAGGUUUAUGCAAAAAUGUGGUCUUUCAUCGUCAUAUUUUUCUCAAGUCAACCAAUGAAAGACCACAUUUUUGCAUAAACCUGAACAAAA